GUUGUUGCAGUUAAAAAGCUCGUAGUUGGAUUUCUGUUAAUAAUUUAUAUAAAAUAUUUUGAUGAAUAUUUAUAUAAUAUUAACAUAAUUCAUAUUACUAUUUUUUUUUUUAGUAUAUGAAAUUUUACUUUGAGAAAAUUAGAGUGCUUAAAGCAGGCAUAUGCCUUGAAUACUCCAGCAUGGAAUAAUAUUAAAGAUUUUUAUCUUUUUUAUUGGUUCUAAGAUAAGAAUAAUGAUUAAUAGGGACAGUUGGGGGCAUUUGUAUUUAACAGUCAGAGGUGAAAUUCUUAGAUUUGUUAAAGACARACUAAUGCGAAAGCAUUUGCCAAGGAUGUUUUCAUUAAUCAAGAACGAAAGUUAGGGGAUCGAAGACGAUCAG
Molecule: ribosomal RNA, 379 nt
Filed under: Cryptosporidium hominis
Lineage: Eukaryota; Apicomplexa; Conoidasida; Eucoccidiorida; Cryptosporidiidae
Description: partial small subunit ribosomal RNA
Source: RNAcentral